Molecule: ribosomal RNA, 312 nt
Filed under: Triticum aestivum (bread wheat)
Lineage: Eukaryota; Viridiplantae; Streptophyta; Magnoliopsida; Poales; Poaceae
Description: partial small subunit ribosomal RNA
Source: RNAcentral
AUGGCUCGUGCCGUUGGGCUGCGUGCCGUGUGGGUCCCGAUCGUUAUCGCCUUGUCUGUUCCACGUGCCCCAUGUGGUCGAUUUGCGUCGAUGAUUUCAGGCAAUUUUUGGUAUGUUGCACCUCUUAGCUUUAAAUGGUCACUGCUUUUGCCUUGUUUUCAGGCAAUUUUGGUGUGUCAUCUAUACCACCCUAUAUAUACUGAUAUGAAAAAGAAUUCAAAGCGGCAUAUUCAACUAAUCUUGACUAUUAAACUAGUCAAUCCAAUGGCCUUAGGCUACUUUCAAUGCAUUGGUGCUUAUAUGAGGUGCUGA